This is a long non-coding RNA of Hermetia illucens (black soldier fly), 404 nucleotides long. RefSeq lists it as uncharacterized. The transcript has 3 exons. The record is from RefSeq and is a predicted model, not a curated record. Lineage: Eukaryota; Metazoa; Arthropoda; Insecta; Diptera; Stratiomyidae.
AUUACGGCAAGAUGAAGUGUUCUUUUUGAAACGUUUCCAAAAGUUCUACUGAGUGAAAUAUUGUAAAAUCGUGAAUCCCGUCCGUCCUUUGAUUCGAGCAAACAAAAGUUGAAAAUCCCAAGUUCGCAGGGUUCCGAUAAAAAUAUUUCAAAAAGUUUCGAAAGAAGGAAAAUUAAUUGCGAAAAUUGACGAAUAGAAAAAUCACCUCGAGGCGAUUAAGAGUUCAAAUGUGGAGUUUCGUUAUUUUAACUAGCGACGGAUUGGAUCAGGAAUCGUGAAGCAUAUUAUCAAAACGGAUGGAUUUAAAAGAUUGUGCAGGAGAUCUCACACGGUUUGCGCCACUCAGCAGAAGAAACAGGAUGUGGUUUCGCCAGGAUGGGGCCCCAUUCGAAUAAAAAGAAGAA